This 801-nucleotide ribosomal RNA is filed under the name uncultured Glomeraceae. RNAcentral describes it as "SSU rRNA". It matches the Rfam family "Eukaryotic small subunit ribosomal RNA", at positions 314 to 1114 of the family's 1831-position model. The record is from RNAcentral. Lineage: Eukaryota; Fungi; Glomeromycota; Glomeromycetes; Glomerales; Glomeraceae.
AUCAACUUUCGAUGGUAGGAUAGAGGCCUACCAUGGUGGUAACGGGUAACGGGGUGUUAGGGCACGACACCGGAGAGGGAGCCUGAGAAACGGCUACCACAUCCAAGGAUGGCAGCAGGCGCGCAAAUUACCCAAUCCCGACACGGGGAGGUAGUGACAAUAAAUAACAAUACGGGGUUCUUUAGGAUCUCGUAAUUGGAAUGAGUACAAUUUAAAUCUCUUAACGAGGAACAAUUGGAGGGCAAGUCUGGUGCCAGCAGCCGCGGUAAUUCCAGCUCCAAUAGCGUAUAUUAGAGUUGUUGCAGUUAAAAAGCUCGUAGUUGAAUUUCGGGGUUAGUAGGUUGGUCAUGCCUCUGGUAUGUACUGGUCUCACUGAUUCCUCCUUCCUGAUGAGCCGUAAUGCCAUUAAUUUGGUGUUGCGGGGAAUUUGGACUGUUACUUUGAAAAAAUUAGAGUGUUUAAAGCAGGCAUUUUGCUUGAAUACAUUAGCAUGGAAUAAUAAAAUAGGACGGCAUGAUUCUAUUUUGUUGGUUUCUAGGAUUGACGUAAUGAUUAAUAGGGAUAGUUGGGGGCAUUAGUAUUCAAUUGUCAGAGGUGAAAUCCUUGGAUUUAUUGAAGACUAACUACUGCGAAAGCAUUUGCCAAGGAUGUUUUCAUUAAUCAAGAACGAAAGUUAGGGGAUCGAAGACGAUCAGAUACCGUCGUAGUCUUAACCAUAAACUAUGCCGACUAGGGAUCGGAUGAUGUUAAUUUUUUAAUGACUCAUUCGGCGCCUUACGGGAAACCAAAGUGUUUGGGUUC